Molecule: ribosomal RNA, 253 nt
Filed under: uncultured bacterium
Lineage: Bacteria
Description: partial 16S ribosomal RNA
Rfam family: Bacterial small subunit ribosomal RNA
Source: RNAcentral
UACGUAGGGGGCAAGCGUUGUCCGGAUUUAUUGGGCGUAAAGAGCGUGUAGGCGGCCAGGUAGGUCUGCUGUGAAAACUCGAGGCUUAACCUCGAGAUGUCGGCGGAAACCAUCUGACUAGAGUCCGGAAGAGGAGAGUGGAAUUCCUGGUGUAGCGGUGAAAUGCGCAGAUAUCAGGAAGAACACCCGUGGCUAAGGCGGCUCUCUAGUACGGUACUGACGCUGAGACGCGAAAGCGUGGGGAGCGAACAGG